GACGAACGCUGGCGGCGUGCUUAACACAUGCAAGUCGAACGGAAAGGCCCUGCUUUUGUGGGGUGCUCGAGUGGCGAACGGGUGAGUAACACGUGAGUAACCUGCCCUUGACUUUGGGAUAACUUCAGGAAACUGGGGCUAAUACCGGAUAGGAGCUCCUGCUGCAUGGUGGGGGUUGGAAAGUUUCGGCGGUUGGGGAUGGACUCGCGGCUUAUCAGCUUGUUGGUGGGGUAGUGGCUUACCAAGGCUUUGACGGGUAGCCGGCCUAAGAGGGUGACCGGCCACAUUGGGACUGAGAUACGGCCCAGACUCCUACGGGAGGCAGCAGUGGGGAAUAUUGCACAAUGGGCGGAAGCCUGAUGCAGCAACACCGCGUGCGGGAUGACGGCCUUCGGGUUGUAAACCGCUUUCGCCUGUGACGAAGCGUGAGUGACGGUAAUGGGUAAAGAAGCACCGGCUAACUACGUG
RNAcentral lists this ribosomal RNA (468 nucleotides) under uncultured bacterium. RNAcentral describes it as "partial 16S ribosomal RNA". It matches the Rfam family "Bacterial small subunit ribosomal RNA", at positions 28 to 507 of the family's 1533-position model. The record is from RNAcentral.